RNAcentral lists this transfer RNA (86 nucleotides) under Candidatus Dojkabacteria bacterium CG_4_10_14_0_2_um_filter_Dojkabacteria_WS6_41_15. Its description in RNAcentral is "tRNA-Leu". It matches the Rfam family "tRNA". From Rfam's summary of the family: Transfer RNA (tRNA) molecules are approximately 80 nucleotides in length. Their secondary structure includes four short double-helical elements and three loops (D, anti-codon, and T loops). The record is from RNAcentral. RNAcentral also lists the same sequence under 2 other names.
GGGCAGGUGGUGGAAUGGCAGACACGAAAGACUCAAAAUCUUUUGCUGGUGACCCCAGCGUGAGGGUUCGACUCCCUCUCUGCCCA